AUGCGCUUGGGCCUGGACUGAGAUAUACGGUUGGCCAGUUUCGAAGCCCGAUGUUUGGCUUUGGUACAUCAUCACCAAUUAGUCUGCUCCAACUCCGUAACAAAUCGAUUGGGACUUGUAUUUUUUUUAUUACUAGAGAUCAACAAAAAUAGAAAUCAUAGUUACUUUAGGAUUUUCCCUUAAAAAUAAAUAAUAGAUGAGACGAGCCUCGCCUAAUAAGUGUAUAAAUUACGGGACCCUCAGUAAAUGAUUAUAAUAAAUACAUAGAACUCGGGAUGGAUCAUUUAGUCAAUUUCACGGCUUUCACCAAAAUAAUAACGCAUUAGACACUUUACACGUGCUUUUAAUAAAAUUACCUUCCUAAACUCAGGUGCACAUUUAUGUGACCCAAAUCC
RNAcentral lists this long non-coding RNA (395 nucleotides) under Nicotiana benthamiana. RNAcentral's name for it is "long non-coding RNA (NBEN_LNC035352)". The record is from RNAcentral. Lineage: Eukaryota; Viridiplantae; Streptophyta; Magnoliopsida; Solanales; Solanaceae.